Molecule: ribosomal RNA, 490 nt
Filed under: Lodderomyces parapsilosis
Lineage: Eukaryota; Fungi; Ascomycota; Pichiomycetes; Serinales; Debaryomycetaceae
Description: eukaryotic LSU rRNA
Rfam family: 5.8S ribosomal RNA (bases 150-303)
Source: RNAcentral
UACGGAAAAAGUGCUUAGCUGCAUUUUUUCUUACACAUGUGUUUUUCUUUUUUUGAAAACUUUGCUUUGGUAGGCCUUCUAUAUGGGGCCUGCCAGAGAUUAAACUCAACCAAAUUUUAUUUAAUGUCAACCGAUUAUUUAAUAGUCAAAACUUUCAACAACGGAUCUCUUGGUUCUCGCAUCGAUGAAGAACGCAGCGAAAUGCGAUAAGUAAUAUGAAUUGCAGAUAUUCGUGAAUCAUCGAAUCUUUGAACGCACAUUGCGCCCUUUGGUAUUCCAAAGGGCAUGCCUGUUUGAGCGUCAUUUCUCCCUCAAACCCUCGGGUUUGGUGUUGAGCGAUACGCUGGGUUUGCUUGAAAGAAAGGCGGAGUAUAAACUAAUGGAUAGGUUUUUUCCACUCAUUGGUACAAACUCCAAAACUUCUUCCAAAUUCGACCUCAAAUCAGGUAGGACUACCCGCUGAACUUAAGCAUAUCAAUAAGCGGAGGAA